GACGUGUGGGUGAGUCAUGAGCAUGUUGCCCCGUCCCUCACACUUUAGAACCUUCUCCAGCAGUUCUGUGUCACAGGGAGAAGUUUGAAAUAACCAUCCUAUUUACUGAGUUAAAAAUAGAAGUGGCUGCAACAUGUUCUUUGCUCUUUCAGGGAUCCAAACUCCUGGGUUGCUUUCAACAGACCGAGAAUCACUGGUUGGGAACGUGGAUCUGACUGAGCAAUGGGAGCCUGGCCUUUGGGAGCUGGCCUGUGCAUGCCCUGCGUGCGUGGGAGACAUGGGACUUGUCCUUCUUUGAGGCUCCCUGGCAUAGACUCCUUGCUCACCAUCACUUUUUCAUUUUCUAUUGCCCACAACGAAGUUCAGUUUCCAAAACCAUCGCCCAACUUAUAUGCACCCACGAGGUUUGGGAUUGGUGUUAACACUAUAGCUGCCUGAGUAGCUACUUUGGCAGGCUAAGGUUCUGACCCUAUGUUACCCGUCCCUGUCUUUGGGACUGGAGGCUGAAUUCCAUGCCCCACCCAUUGGGGGCACUGCAGGCUCCAGGGUCCUGAGCCCCUGCCUGGGCUGAGAGGUAGGCUGCGGGGACAGGAGGGGCUGAUGCUGGCCUCAUGCCAUCAGGGUCAAGGGCCAGUGGUGCACACUUUGUCUCCUAUCCUGGGGUCAGCCAGGCCUGCACGGACUCAUCCUCAGCCUAUAUCUGCAGUAUAUGCCUCCGAAGUUUCCAUCAAUAGGGGGCGGCUGGGUAUACAAUGAUGAGGAAGGGUAUAGGCUCCGGGGAAGACCCAGGCACCCAAACCAGCACGAGUAUCAGGUCACUUCCCUUUUCCUCCCCCACAUGUGCCUUUCUGGUCUGUUGCACUGGGAGCCAGCUGCUAGCAGCCUGGGAAGGGCUGAGGUGCUCUCAGAGGCCAGCGUCUCCACAGGGAAGUGUUCCUUAUUCGCCCCUGGUAGGAAUGGCCAGGGAAGCCCAACAGAGAGACCGAGAGGGAUCUUCUCCCAUGUGCUCUCCCUCAUGGUGAGAAUCCCAUCCCGAAUGCAGGCAGGGUCCCCAUGCUGCCACCCCAGCUCCUGCCUUGUUGUGAGGAUGGUGCAGAGGGCUGUGGAGCCAGGGUUAGCUGGGUGGGGAGGGCUGCUGGAGGACUUGCUCAAGCAGGCUGCAGCAAGGCCUUGGGCACGGUGUGGUUACCUCACACCCAGGGACCUGCAGGUGCAUGCUGGGCUGUUUCUGGGUUGGCACCCAGACCCUUGGCCCUCACUGCCACACGAAUCUGCCUGGAGGAGCCAGGUGGGUGCUGCUUGCUGACCCUAGCCUGGCCAGGACAGCCUGGGGAGGAGCUGCAACCCAUGGGGUUGAGUGGGCACAGGGCCAUCAGCCAGGCCUACCAGACUCUGGUGAGAAGUCACCUGCCAGGGGCCUGAGGGCUACAGGGAGCCCCUGACCCAACACCCCAGAAGGCAAAGCCCAUCAGAGGUUGAGUUCCAUGGUUCCCCUAAGCUUUCUGUCUCCGGCUGUCCCUAUUAAAGGAGGGACAGUGGUUCAGGCUGCUGAGGUGGGGUGCUCAAGACCUGGCAGCUUGCCCAACAGACAUCCAUUUCUUGAAAAUCUGGAGGCUGGACAUGUAGGACCAGGAUGCCAGAGGGGCUGGGGGCUGUGAGGGCCCUUUUCUGGGGUGCAGAUGGCGCCUUCUAACAGAGUCCUCUCAUGCGAAGGUGAGCGGGGCUGCUCUCUGGGUUCAUGUAUGUAAGGGUCCUAUUUUAGGGUUCCACUCUGUGACCUGUCUGGCUCCCAAAAACCUCACCUCCUAAUACCGACACAUUGGGAGGGGCCAGGUUUCAACAUAUGAAUCUUGGGGUGACACAGACAUUGAGUCCAUGGCAGAACAGGUGCCAUAGACCCAAUACUACUGCAUUUCACUUCUCACAGAAACCCUGCCGGCAGAGGAGGAGACUGGCUCAGAGAGGUGGAGAUGCUGCCUGGUGGGCCAGCGGCCACGGCCGAGUUGGGGGGCUGGCCUAGGGUGGUGCAGAUGCCAGGACCAGUCCCCUCCCAGGGACAGGGAGUGACCUCCUCUGAGAGGACCGGGCUCCUUUCCAGCUGAGAGUGGGCAAGAUCAGCAACUGCUGUGGCCAGGACUCUGUGGGGCAGGGUGUUGGGUGGGGGUCCCAAGGGAAGGCUUUGGCUGGUCCUGUUCGGGAGUCCUCUCUCCCUUUCCUUGGCCACAGGAAGGCUGAGAAUGAAGAGGCAUCACCCACCUCCUUCACUCCUCAGGGAUCCCACAAGACCCAGCUCUUCCAUGCAGCCAUUCGAUCCUUACGCUUUGUGUGACUACUGGCCCCACUAUGCUCCUGUGAGAUAUGGCAGCUUGCUGCCUCCCUCCCAACAAGCAAGGGACCUGUGCUCUUUUUUGUCCCAGGCUGGUGGCCUGGAACGGGACCCUGUUGAUUCAGAGUGGCUCAUGUACUAAGAGGAAGUUGUGUGGCUGGGUUCCUGCAACAGAGCACCUAAGGCCCAAGAUGUGUGCACGUGUGCCCCGUUGUCCCCAGAGGCUGGCUAUGGUCUGGUGGCAGAGGUUCACUCCCAGGGAGGAAGAAAUCACCAAGUGACAAGUGAUGUUUUGGGUAAAGCCCUUCUUGUUCCGCCCUCACCCACCUGGGGCUCCUAGGCUUCCUGGUGCUUCCCCCUGCUGUUGUUUCACUGGGGAGGGACCAGGGCAGGGAGGGGACAGCUGGGGAAACAUUCCUGAUUCUCUGUGCAUUCCUUUCUUCCUGUCCACUGGUGAUUCCUGAUCUGCUUUGGGGUAGGUAAAUAACUCUUCCCUAUCAACAUCUGACAUCCCCCAAACUCUGUGGCAUGAACCAUCACCCCAGGUUGGCUCUUGGUGUGUGAGGUUCAUCCUAUGGAAUUCUAAGGAAAUCUCUCUCCAUACAGCCUGGUUUUGCAAAUCAAAAGCUCUUUGAUUUUUUUCAGACUGCUUCAGCUAGAGACAGACAAAGUCUACACAAGAGUCUCAAACAGGAUCGCAGCUUGCUGGUUUCAGCAUGCGGGAAGCAAUCCUGCCCCCUGGACAGCAGGGUCCAGGCAGGUUGGCACCCAUUGUUCUGGGGGCAACUGUUCAUCUCAGACUUUAUAAAUGUGCUGACGAUCACCUGAGGGGGGAAACGUUCUGAGUUUGCAAAUGAGCUGGUAUGGGAGCCUUGGCUAGGUCUGGGAAGUCCGGGAAGCAGCCACCUCUUACUGCCUUAGACUGCCACCUUGCUAGGUAUGCAGAAUGAAGGGACUUCUGGAAGGCAGAGACAGCCACUGCGGAGCCCACAAGGGCUACACAGGAGGUGGGCCUGGAGGUGGCUAUGGGGAGAUACUGACCAGGCGCCUAGAAAGAGAGGCAUUUCCAGUGCAAUCAGUGGGAUUGAAGGUGUGGGAGACAGGCGUUCACUGAGUGGCCAGGGCCAGUCUGAUGGCUCUGAGGCUUUGUGUUGGAGCAUGGCAAAAGAGGAGGUCAGAGAGGUGGGCUGGCUGGGCACGGAGUCUUGGAAAGUUGACUGAGGGGUGGUCUGGGCUCACUAAGGAGUGAGCCACAUUCCAGGAGGAAGUUAGGGACAGGUGGAAGUGAGGUGCCAGAGGACAGCGACAGAUGCUGUUAUGGAGGCCCAGCAUGGUGGACUGCAGUGGGCAUGAGGAGGGGAGGGGAGGCCUGAGUGGGCAGCACCCUGUGGGGGAAUCACCAGGUCUCUGGAGCUGACUCUGGAGGUGCAAGGAAGCUUCAGGUCUGUGGGUGGGAAGCCAGCCAGGCUUCAGCAGCACUGGGGAAGCCUGGAGGGGUCCCUGUUGGGCAGCACUGGUGGCACUGCAGGGUGGUGACAUUCAGUAGCCAGCUGGCCCUGGGGGCAUGGAGGCAGCAGAGUGGCCAGGACUGUGGUGACAUAUAGAUUCUGUGCAGGAUGACCCUGCAGGAGGUGAGACUGCAGGUGGAUGGCCUCUGGGGAGGGCGCCUGGAGCAGAGCCAUGGCCCCGGGAAAGCCCAGGGGCAGCCACACUGCCCAAUGCACUGGAACAUCUCAGAGGAACUGGACCUAGGAGAGGAGCACUCUGCCCCUGGGUGACAGCUGGGGCUUUCUCCUGCUCCACCUGCCGAUUUCAGUCUCAUAAGGCAUUUUUCUUAGUGAGCGCAGUGGAGACCAAAGCCUCUCAGAACAGGAGAGUGGGAGCCUGAAGAAGGGCCUUCUGGAUCCCUCCAGGGCCCAGGGCAGUCUUGACGCCACCCCUGUGCCCCCUGACACUGUCCCCCAGGCCUCAUGCCCUGUAGAGGGACAAGGCGAUUUCCCAGGCCGCUCAGGAGUUUAUAUUUUCUUCCUUUCUACUUUUUCUUUUGUUCUAACUAGUUUUACAUGACAGGGGAAUGCAUUUUGACACAUCUUUUUUUUUUUAAAUAUUUAUUUAUUUAUUUUAGUUUUCGGCGGACACAACAUCUUUGUUUGUAUGUGGUGUUGAGGAUCGAACCCGGGCCGCACGCAUGCCAGGCAAGCGUGCUACUGCUUGAGCCACAUCCCCAACCCCUUGACACAUCUUAUGUAAAGGGAUAUCAGGGGGUUAUAUUUCUGUCAUCACAGACUCCUAAACAAGUGCUCUCAGGAUGGUGAUUUUUCGGGGUGCACCCCCAGCGGCAGUUGCGUUUCUGGGCUGGUGAUUAAAGAUGGCUAUGCAGGUGGGGGUGGUAGGAUGCAUCCCAUUUUUUCCGCACAAGAUCUUUUCCAACUAAAUGAAUCCUGCGGCUGGCUGCAUACCCUGAGAUCCCCCCUCUCCCAGCAACGAGCCGACCACAGCACCAGGCCUGGACACAGCAGCUUCCCGCCCCAGCCCUCCCGACAGCCAGCAGAAGCCAAUCAGUCAGGGUGGAGAGGUGGCCCUGGGCUGUCUGGCUCUCCUGGCAGUGCUGUUCACAGGCUGGCUGUUGAAGGGACACUCUUUCCUUCGCCCUGCGCCCUCUGAAGGUGAAGACUGGGCUUCCGCCUCCCUGUGAGCACCUGUUCCCUACCGUUCCGACAGUUUGACUAACUCAUCAAGCUUUUUGUGCAGCACAUACUCUGGCAGGAACAGAAGCAGCAUGACACUCGCUGGAUACGGGCUGCGCAAGCACCACCACGUGCUCCCAGAGCUAGGCCAGCAUCCUGGGCGUAGCUGAUUGGCAUUCUGUCUCAUGCCCACCAGCUCACAGUGGCGGAAGCUAUGGACACGUGGAUGGGGAGGGGAGGUUUGUGGGGUGUGCUCACAUAGUUCUUCUCCAUUUGAGAGAAGCCCACUGUAGGAAAGGCCCCAGUCUGAGGCAGUCACAGGCCCGAGUUCGGGCACCUUGGGAAAGUGUGUCCUCACACUCUACUGACCUGUCAGGGCCAGCGUGGCCAGUCCUCUGUCCUCAGGCUUCUGGUCCCAUGAUGGUCACUAGGUGUCCAGAGCAGGAGGACAAAAGGAUUUUGAGGUCAUUUGGACACACUCACCAAGACCAUUGCUGGUCCAUGAAGCUCUCACUGUCCUAGCUGAAGGGCAACAUCUCCUCUGCUGGAAGCUGAGGAUACUGCCUUAUGGUGCGGAUGCUGCAUAUGCGAUGUCACACACGAAGCCUGCCUCACUUCUUGAGAGGGUCUGUGGCUUCAGUCCCUCUGAAGGAUGCAGGAUGGAGAGCCCUGCAUCUAGGGCUGAUCCCAGAAAUGAGUUCCAGGGGUCUAUGCUGAGGCUGCUGGUCCUGCUAGAGGUGAUGUGGCCUCUCCCUUGACCGGCUGCAAUUGCUUGGGGAAAAAGGCACACACCAGGUCAGGAGCGGUUCUUAUCCUAGUGAGGCUGACCCCAGAGCUUCUAGGCCUCGAGGAUGCACUGAUGGGCCCAGCAUGGUGCUGACAGGUGGACAGGCAGAGGCUUGCCUUCCUGGGGCUUACCACCUGGAGCAUGGCAUUUGCACAUUCUCUGUGAAGAGCCAGAUAGUAAGCAUUUCCUACCUUGUGGGCUGUGGGUCUCUGUCCUAACUAGCCAUGUGGUCACUGUAGCUGUAGGUGGAUGCCUUGGUGUUCCGAUAAAACCUCACGUUUUUGGUCAGAUUUUGCAAUUUCUUACUACCCAGAUUUUCCCUCUGAGCCUCUGAAGGAUGGGAACAUGUUCUUGCUCCUUUUCUUUUUCCCAGAGCCUAGCAUGGGGCCUUACUCAGUUUACACCCCCCAGUCAUUUCAAGAAGACGCUGGGGGCUCCAGUUAUGCUGACAGUUCACACACUGGGCCGCGCUUGAAGGGCCUAAGUGCUGCCCACUGAGGUGCACACCUCUCACAGCGGAUACUGGCGCUGGGGCACUUUCUAGUUCAUUCUGUUGUCUUUUCUAUUCCCUCCUUUCCUUCCCUUUCUCCCUUUUCUUCUUCUUUCUCCUCUCACCUAUUUUCCUAAACAUUUAUUAGGCACUUUCUGUGUACAGACACUAUGCUUGGCUCUAGAGACACAAAGAACAGUCAAGACAUAAGGUUGGUCCACAAGGGGCUUCGAUGAAGGGAGAAGAGGCCUGUUCUGCCUCAGGAUGCUGAGCUGUGGGCACAUGGGCCCAGGCCUUGCCUCUCCCCCAAAGCAGGGAGUGGGCAUUAGCUUCCAGUGGCUGCCUCAGCCUCUGAGCCACGGGUUAAAUCUGAGGCUGUUCUGCAAGGGCGCGGGCCUGGCUGGUGUUGUUUCUAGGCAGAGGCUGGAACCUGUGUCUCUUGUUUUGAUAAAGCUUUGCUGUCAGAGUUUGAGCAAUAGGUGUGGAUAUCUUGAAGCAAGAUAGUGGCCAAGUCCUCAUCUAGGAAGCAGAGAGCUAAGCUGAAGAGGAAAUUUGCAACCAAGGGAAACAACCAGCAGGGACCAGAUCAGAAAAAGGUGGAAAAACAUAACCCAGAGGCACACUUUGCUUUGUUUAGAACACAUUUUCCUGUGAACCCCAAAAGCUGUGCCAGGUGUGUGAUGAGCAGCCGUGGACGGCGGAGCCCACCUGGGGCCUGCUUCCCACUCCCUCCCUGCUCUGCUCUCAGGUGUCAUCUUGGAGCUGGCGCUGCCAGGUCACAUGGUCCUGUGCACCCUGUACUGUUGGAGGUUAGCACGUGUCCAGCCCACUUUACCCAGGAUCUCUCAAUGGCCGUGAAGCCUUCUGCACUGUCCCGUUAAUCCUCAGGUGCUCUCUGGUUCUGGCCUCAUUGAGAGGCCACGGGUUCAUUUCUCCUAAGAUGUCUUCCAGCCAGUGUAUUCUCUGACCUGGGGCUUGGUCUCAAGGCCUCCGGCUCACAGAGACCUAGCCGGGGACAGCCCUGGCUCUGGGCAAGGACAGGAGAGAACCCCAGAGGCAUGCACACAGUUUUUGGGUAUGUGGGUGCCAGCUGAGGUCCCAGCCGGGUUUCCUAGGAAGUCCAAGUAUCACAUCCCACACCUUGGGUGGAAGGGAAAGAGGACAGAGGUGGGUCAGUUGGGUGAGGGGCUCCCAGGGACCCAGGUCCAGAGGGUGAGUGGACUUUUAUCCCUUUCAGGGACUGGAGGAUCAAAGUGCAAAAGAUCCCAAAACUUCCUGUCACCAUACCUCACUAAUUAGGCAACUCCUGGCAAUUCGACUUUGGACUUUGCUCUUGAAAAGAAAAUCCUGGUAGAUCCAGGAACUCGGCAAGACGUCAGCGUUUGCUCAGGGGUUGAGGUCCCCUGAACCAUCUAGGUCACCUGCCCCAGACUGGUGGUUAGUCAUGGCCUGAUAAUAACAAGAGAGUACGUCAAGCUUCACGUGUGCUUUGGCAUUCAGUGCUCAUAUCUGUGUGUCUUGCCGUGACCUCGAGGAUGAGCAACGGUGGCCUACUAGGUGCUCACCUUCGAGCACCUGCUGCCCUCCUGCCCCUGUUCCAUGCACGGUCGACGCAUCUUCUCUCUCAAUGCUCACUGUAGCCGUGAGUGAUGCAGCUGUCACAUCAGGAGUGGACCAGGCUCCCGCAGGAUGGGGAACAGGCCUGCCCACAGGGCUCAGGGGGCCACCAUCUUCCCAGGCCAUGGAACAGGGAGAGACCAGGUUAUCUGGCACCUGGACUCCCAUCUGGAGCUUGAUGCAAGUGCCCCCAGCAGAGGUAGAAGGUGAAAGGAGCUGGCCUCAGAUGGCCCCUGUGACCACUGCCUUGUUGCCCACCCAGCGUUGCUCUCUCUUGGGAAGAUGGUGUCACCUACCUUGGCCCCAGUCUGUGGGUUCAGGGUGAAGACCCCUGUGUAUCCAGCUGCUCAGCUGAGAGGACUGUUAUGAACAGGGUGCAGGGCAGGAGGGGGCAGGGACCUCUUCCAGGGCUGCUGCAGGCCCCGCUGUGCUGGAGAAACUGGAGAGGACCGUGGCUCCAGGUGAGCGCUGGGUGGGCGAAGGUGGCUGUGGCAGCAGCAAAUGGCAGGGUGAGGGCUGAAGAGCAAGGAGCAGUAGAGUGCCAGAUAAGGGACCCUCGCCCAGGGGUGCAGGCAGGAGCAUGUCCCGCUGAAGGCAAAAGCUGCAGGAGGGUGAACCCAUGUUGUCCCAUGUCCCCAGGUGGCAGCCGUGUUGCUGAGGACACCGUGUAGGGGAGCACCACCUCCUCCCAGGCCACCUGCCCACUGAGGUGCAGACACACUCCUGAUUUCCUCUGAGACAGGGUAAAGCGUGGGUUGUUAGGACAUUUCUUAAUUGCAGGGAGACUACAUGGCAAACUCCUAGAGGCAAGUAUGUGGCUCUGUGUCCUGGUGAUGGUGACGGGGACUAGGCUGCCUGGGGCAGCGGGCCUCGGUGCCUACGGCUCUAUUCUGGAUGUUCUGCGAGUGCGCUUACUGCGAGGUCAUGGAGGAGAGCGGCUGGCAGGACAGAAACGAUCCCGGUAGAGUUUUUCAGGGUUAGAAGGAACGGAGGUCCCAGAAGGUUGAGUGGAAACUGCAUCUGGUGUGGAGGAGGGUCCGGAUCCACCCUCAUGUCUGACAGCUCCAUGCCUGGGGUGGGGAGCACCCGUGCUUGACCAGGUGUGAGUCAACUUGGGGACGUGGUUCCUGCAGGGAGGGGCAGCAGGCAGCAAGUAGGUGGCCUUGGGGGUCCAUGCUAGGAGCCUCUGCUGGAGGUCUUGGGAGACCGCUGCCUGCUCCCAGGGGAGUGGCAGUUCUCUGUGGUCUGAGUCCCAGGUGACACCCGCCUAGGAGGAUGAAGGGUGCUGGGAGGGAAUUCCCUGUGUAUCUUCUCCCACCAGGUCCCAGGGAAAAUGCCCAGGGAGUAGUGAGCAUGAAGGUGAGGGAGGAGGAGGCGAGCUGCCCAGGAAAGUCAGAAGUGAGGGCUAUGCCAGGCGGAGGCACAAAGGGAGUCCCGUGGCCAGGCAGACAGGAGAUGGGAGGCCGAGAGGGAGGCCAGCGGGCUCCAGGACAAAGAGGGUGGGAAGAAGUGUGAGGCAGGAAGUGCUUCAGGCUCUCAGGUGGGGAAAGGCUGCCUGCUCUGCAGAGGAGCCUGGAAACCAGUAACAGGAUAUGGAGGGGCCAGGAGAGGAAGGCCUGCCUUCCUCAGGGAGGGAACAAUGGCCAUUCUUCCAUUGAAGGCUGACAUGCCCUGAGAGAGGAAGGGCCUGCCAGGAGGGAGGGCCAGUCAGGGGACAGGAAGGAAGGGGCCAGAGCCUGCACCGACCAGAGGAAGGCCAGAGGCCCCUGCAUUGCAUUUGGAACUCAAUACACCCGCCUCCAGAGCACCAGGCAGCCGGCAAGGUCCCCAUGGCCAUGGCGUCACUGCUGUGGCUUUCCCAGGAGCCCUGCCCCUGCUCUUCCCUCCCCUUGGCCUCUUCCAGGACCCCAGGUUCCAGCCUUGCUAGGGCAUCCUGAGGCUGGUCGAGGCCAGGGUCUCCCACACCACCUGCUGGGUUCUGAGACUUCCCAUCUACACACACGGGAAGAAGGAGCUCCCAGCAUAAUAAAGGAAUCGGGCCAAAGUAAUCAAGGCCCCCAUCCCCCCAAGGCGCCCGUUUCCAGGACAAUCAGGGCCGCCCACUGAACAACACUUGCUCAGUACAAAGGAAGUGCAUGACGGGUCCAGGGGAAACGUCUGAUUGUUGGGCACACAACAAUGGACGGGUGGACUGAAUGGCACUCACAUGUGAGGUUGCUGUGCCGAGCAGCCCUUCGGAAUCCUAGAGAGCACCGUGGAGUGGCAUGGGGCGCUCCCACUGAGGACUGAGAGGUGUGGCCUUCACACUCAGUCCUUCCCUUGGGGCUGCGCUCUGUGGGAGUGACUCACACACUUCAUGCCUCACCUGCCUUGGCCUGGUUCCCCAUCCCCUCGACAGGAGGUGGGCCCUUUGUCAACAGCAGCGGGUGGCACCAUGGACUUCAUUUGGCAUGAGAUGAGGAUCAGGGGGCCAAGGUAGCUGAGAGGAGGAAGCAAAAGAAGGGCUAGGGGACCUCAGGGAAAGCAGGCCUGUCAUUUGCCAAGGACUGGAUGUUUGUGACCCCUUCGCCCCAACCCCCAGUGUGACUGUAUUUGGAGAAAGGGCCUUUGUCAUGAUGCUCAAGGAUAAAGGAGGUCAUUAGGGUGAGCCCCGAUCCAAUAGAAUUAGUGCCCUUCUGAGAAGGGACAGAGAGAGCUCUCUCUCUCCACUAAGCAAGGACUGAGGGAGAAGGUGGCCCUUUGUGAGCAGGGAAGGAGGUCCUCACUAGGAACCAGCAAGCCAGCGCUGUGGUCUCUGCUUCCAGUCUCCAGACCCACAGUGUCCCAAGUAGCUGGGAUGUGGUUGUUGUGCCUGCCCUGGGGGACUUCAAACCUGAAAGACUGAAGAGAUGAAACUCUCACUGCAUGUUCUCACUUCCAGGUGGGAGCUGGAAGGUGGUCUCAGAAGUGGAGGGCAGAGUAGUGGCUGUGGCAUCUGGGGACAUGCUGGGGAGGAGGAACAUGGAGAGGGUAGUUCCUGGGUAUAGGCACGCAGCCCUAGGGGAGGAACGACUUCUAGAUUCCAAAGCAGGUAGGUAACUAUUGUUGGUAGCAAUGUAUGGAACGUUUCAAAAUGGCUAGUAAAGAAAGAUUUUGAAUGUUCCUGACACAAAGAAAUGAUCAAUGUUUCCGGUGACAGACAUGCCAAACACCCUGACCUGCACCUUCCACACUGAGGAUGUUGAAAUAUCACCCUGCACCUGGUAAUCAUGUACAAUUACUAGGUGACAAUUAAAACUAUUUUACAAGAAGGGUCAGGAAGUUUCAGGGGAAAAAGGUCCUUCAAGGCCAUCUGAGACAUUGCCUGUCCAGUUGACAGCAGCCCUCCCAAGGCCCACAGAGCCUCCCCAGUCCACUCAGCGUGUUGUGCUGACUUGGUCUUGUUGGCACAGGCGGAGGAGCAGAGGCUCCGGACACCUGCACCCUUCUCAAGGCUUCGCCCUGUCUCUAUGGGGCCCCUCACCUGCAGGCGUCAGUGGGUGCCACUCCAUCCCGGUCACCAGUAGGGGCUGUGUCUUCUGGCCGGUGGUCAACAGCAGGAGAGGUCAGCUCUUCAUGAACCAGGCCCAUCUUCAUGCAAAUGUGUCUGGGAAUAGCAGGGAGCAGAACUGCAGGGUAUUUGUGGCGGAGAGAAGUGGGGCUGCUGGGGAACAGAUGCUUUAUUGGGCUCCUGUGGAGCACCAGCUGCUCCUCUAAUGUGUCCACUUCAGGCUUUCAGUGGGGAGCGACUGCUCCAUAAGUAGCAGGCAUAUGAGCCAGGCAUGGUGGCCACGCCUGACAUCCCGGUGACUCGGAGGCCGAGGCAGGAGGAUGGCAAGUUCCAGGCCAGCCUCGGCAACCUAGGGAGACCUUGUCAUGGGAUAAAAGUUGAAAGGGCUGGGUGCAGCUCUUGGUAGGUUGCCCUGCAGUCUCCAGUGCUGCGGCACGAGGAACAGGCACGGAGCAGGGUGUCACUGUGCCUGGGGACCUGCCAGAGCCCACAUGCCUCUCCCAGUGACACCUUUGUGCCUGGCCCUGGGCGCCUUCUCAUUUUCUCUAAGUUUUAUAAUCUUUUCCUUUUUUCUUUACUUUCUAUUUUGGAGAAAAGUCCUACCUCAGGAAAGUUGCAAGACUAUUUAGAGGCGCAGGUUUCCUCCUCUUCUGGGCAGAGACAUUACUGGUAGCUUUGUCUGGGCAGCUUGAGGUCCAGCUGUAGGCAUUGCAGCCCCCAGGUAACUCCAUGCUCUCUUCACCUGCAAUCCUGUCGUCUCUUCGGGGCCCAUAGUUAUGGCUGCCCAGAUGUCCCAGGGCCACGAUUGCCCCAGGGGAUUUGCUUAUCUUGUCUCUUUAGCCCUCUUUAUCUGGAACAAUCAGUAGCCUUUCCUGGAAGUUCACAGCACUGAUUCUGGGAUUGUGCGGAUCUGAAGAGGGAAGCAGAGUAGCGGGACUGCCAAGAGUGACCAGUGGACAUUUGUGGGGAGCACGGGUCAGGCUCAGGAGGGGGCUUGGGGCUAGGAAGGAGGUGUGGACAUAAGGCCACAGGGAAUGACUGUUGGAGAGGUCUGAGGAGGGCCACUGCUCCCAUCCAUGGGCUAGGCCUGAGCGUGGCCAGCAGGUAGGCAGCUGGGGUGGGGAGGACAGAGCAAGGUAGUGCUAAUGGAACUACAGUGGCCAUGUCUGUCACAAGAGAUAUUGGUGACCUCCACAGGGAGCUGCCCUGUGCCUGGGCUGUCCCUUGGAUGAGGUGAAGGAGGAGUCAGGAGUCCUGGUGUGGAGGUGCCCAGCAGCGGGUGGUGUGAGCGUCUGCAGAGCCUGUGCCCCUCUUGUGCACACAUCCGCCUUGGUUGCACGAGCCCUUGUGCAUCCCACAAACGCCUCUGCACUCCUGUGAGGGAUCUGGUGGGAGCAGGAUGGUGGACGCAGGCAUGACAGCACUCCAGGCCGCAGCCCUGGCUCUGCCCCAUGGCACCCAUCCCACCUGCUCCUGGUGACUUUUCCCUGUGAGCCUGCAAGCUUCCCAGGGAGGACAGGCCCAGUCUGUCCACUGUGGCAUGUCACUAGAACUGCCUGGAGCCUGGCAUGGAGUCCUCACAACUGACAGAAGAGGUGAACCCGGCUCUGCUCUUUCAAAGCCGCUGAAGUUCUCCCUGGAGAUGACCUGGACAGUUAGGUUCCCACUUGAGACACUGCUGAGUCCAACCACCUUCAAUGGUGAUGUUGUCUCAGGAUAGACUGUUCUAAUAAAGGGGGGGAUUCAAUUCCAAGUACAGAUGACCCAGUAUAAUCCAAAAUAUCAUGAGAGGAGUUUAUUUCCUCACAUAGACCAAGUCCAGAGCAGCCACUAAGCCCUCGGGGACCUGGCUCCUUCCAUACACUGCUCUGCCCAUCCUUGGGUGUGGUCUCAUCCUCUUGUGCCAGGCUUUCAGUGGGGAGCGACUGCUCCAUAAGUAGCAGGCAUAUGAGCCAGGCAUGGUGGCCACGCCUGUCAUUCCAGUGACUCGGAGGCCGAGGCAGGAGGAUGGCAAGUUCCAGGCCAGCCUUGGCAACCUAGGGAAACCAAGAAGGAGACUCCACAUUUCAGGCCAGUGGGAGGGGGGUGACAAAGAAGCAGCUCAACAUGCAGCCACAGGACCUUCUGUGUAUACCCCACCAUCUGUUAGCUUCUCCCGUGGUGCAAAGGAGGCUGGGAAUGCCAUCUUUUCUCUGGGUGGCAUGUGCCCAGGGAAAAGGCCUUGCUCUGGGGAGCAGUGGUCUGGCUUUGUCUGGCCACCAGCAGUCCUUGCCAUAGCUGAUUUGGGGAAGGCCUGGUGUGUCUUUCUUCUUACUCCCUCUUGUGCAGAAUGGGAUGGUGACCAGAGGCUUGGGCCUGGCACUCUUGGGACAGGGGUGAGGCUGGUCCACCUUAGCUUUUGCUAGAAGUGGGGCCAGUUGGUGGUGGUGCAUUGUGAUUGGCUUCCUCGUGUUAAGUGGCACCAGGCAGUCCAUGAUGCAGGGAAAAGGGCAGGCAUCACCUAAAUGCCUGGAAAAACCCAAACCAAAUCAGCAGCAACCACCCCAAACCCGAGAAAGCUGGUUACGACCUAGGGGCCAAGGGGGGAAGGGAGGAGACCCGCAGCAGGGCCAUGAGUCCGUCAUGGCGACUCUCUGGCCUAGUCUGUGGCGAUGUGAUUGAAGAGUGCAUUUACUAUCAGUGGAUUUUAAAUCUCCUUUUAAAAGCGUGAGUCUCAAGGGAGUGUGUCAGAGGCGGGCAGCUGCUCCCCAGAGGGCAGUUUCCAACUUACUGUGGCUGAGCCUAUUUUGUUUUAUUAAAGAAGGCCAGCUGAACCUGCCUCUGUUCUCAUGCUGUGGACUCAGAAUGCAGAAAGCAGAGCUGCCUCUGCAGAGCCCAGCCAGUAGGAUGCCAACGAGGGACCAUCCUCGCUCUGAGCCCUCACUGCCUUCUGGACUCCAGGUGGACCCUGAGGGUGGGGGAAGCAAAGGCUGUGGGUAAAGGAGGGGCAACGUGCUCCUGUUUGAGCAGAUUCCACCUGAAGAUGAAACGCUUGUAUUCAUUCAAGGCCCCUCCGUCCCCGGCCUGGACGCUCCGUUUCGGCCAUUGCACAGGACCUCCAUGCAUGAGUAUGUGCCCAUAGGCUGGGCCUCGCAGGGCUGGAGCUGGUUUUUAGCUGUGUCUGCUUCUGUCUAAGCCCUUACGUGUGCGGUGGGCCAGAGAGGCAAUGUAGGACACUGCGUAAAUCCACCGGGGAGUGAACAAAUCCAAAGCCAGGGCAGCCGCUGAUGUGCAGGGCACACUGCAUUCUAGUCCUGGGCACCCAGGCCUCAGGCAUCCAAGGCAGCCAUAGAAGGCAGGGCUGUGUUCUCGCCUCUGGGGUGAAGGGAGGGAGCUGGGAGACUCUGAGUGACUUGUCUGCUGGUCCCUGUGUGAUGGAGGUGGGAUCAGGAUGGGGCAGUCUAGAGCGGGGCAGCUGGCAUCAUCACCGCCAGUGGAUGCUUGUGCAGGACAGGAAGGUGCUCCCUGGUACAGGCGGGGAGCCCUGGGCUUGGAUGGGAGUACAGAGCAAUGCCCCACAUAGUUCCCCCCACACGCCACAAGCCAGCCAGUGGGGUCAGCCGCCCUCCCUUUAAACAUGGUCACUGUGGAUGGCGAAGAUCCUCAGCUGGCUCAGCCCCUGCUCUUCUGUAUCUUGCUUUUGCCAAGGCAAUAGUAGCCCUUUGGCUUUGGGUCUGAGUGAAGAUGCACCUCCUCAGAGGGGGUCUCCUGUCCCAAGCUCUUUGCUGUGAGGCCACAUCACCAGCAUUACUCAGGUCACUUUGACCUGCCAGCUUUUUUAUGUCUGUUUACCAAGCCCUAGAGAGGAGGAGCCACGGUUGGACUCUUCCCUCAUGUGGCACUGACAUGACCAUGAACUGCAGCAUGGUUUCUCUGGUCUCUUGGCAACCCGCCGGCUGCCCUGGUACCACUGGGCUGUGGACAUGGCAGGUGUGUUCCUUGGGAGAUCAUCAGUCUAGUGGUAGCAAUGGGAGGGCCCCAGUGACACUGUGAUCUCCAUCCACCUUGGGAGUAGCCGAUGGGGUCCAUUGAGGUGAGCUGAAGCAGGGAGCAGGUGAUGCGUGGAUGAAGCUUGGGCUUCUGGAGGCAAGGGACACACAAGGAAGGGGACAGUCCAGCCACAGUAGGCAAGGAGGUCCAGGCUGUGGUGCCGGGUCUGUGAGUGUGUUCAGUCCCGUGGGGAUCUGCAUUCAGUGUGCCUGUCUAGCUUGACUCCAUUGGUAGCCUUGAGCAAGUGUCUUACCUAGCACUGGGAGCCUGGCCUGUGUCCUGACUGUGGCUUCCUGGGCUUCCAUGACCCAGCCCCUGAGCAGUUGCUGGUCCUCUUGAUGGCCUGGCUCCAACACUUGGAGCCUAGUCAUUGGUGCUGUCCUUCAGUCCUAGACCUUUCCCAACCCUCGCCCCCAUCUGUCCUCCGAUUGCCCCCGGCUCCCUGGACUGAGCCUCCUCCAGUUUUUCUCGGUCACUACCCUGUCUCAUGAAGGGUCCUGCCCAGCCUGGGCUCCUGUGGCCUGGUGUCUGCUGAAUUGCACUGAGCCUGGCAGUGGGAAACAGAUUGAUGAUCGCACAUCUUCCAGGCCCAGGAAGCAGAACCAGCCAUGUUCGUUUUGCUACAGAGGAGGGUAGUGUAGCGUGGAGCCCAGGGCUCACUCGCUAUGUGCUGUUUUGAAUCUGAGUUAGAGUCAAAUUUGUCUCUGAUUAUCUGGGUGAACUCCUUAACUAUUUGUUUGUAAUACCACCAACUAUUUCCAGAUGUUAGCGCAGCAUGUAUACCGUGCCACUGAGGGUGGAGGGGUUAGUGCUGAAACCAUUUUUAAUAUAAGAAAAAUGCAUAUGGAGAAAUUAAAUCCCCUACUAAAGAUCCGGCAUUGUUUACCCACCACAGGUUUUUUCUUGGCUGGAACACAUCUGUCUCCCUCUUAUUCCAGCUGCUCCCGCCAGCUCCAAACACUGGGAUUACCCGAUUCCUCUCUGGUGGUUCAGUGAUCUGGCAUCUAGAGACCAGCAAAGGCAAUUUCAGAGUUCUACUAACUCCCAUUUGGAAAUAAGUGAUAGUCUCAUGGGGUCACCAUGAAGAUGAAGGGGGGCAGCAGACAGAAAGCACCUGCGAUGGCACCUGGCUCCUGCUCAAGUUUUGGUGAAGACCAGUUUGUCUUUCUCCUUAGGAAGACCCAUUUUCUCAACACCUGCACUAGAGACCUUGCUGCCUCUGAUGUGGGCUUAUCUAUGGCUGAUCCAGAGUCCAGAGAUUGGGUAGAAAGAACAGGCUUGUGGAGCUGGGAAGACAUGUGUGUGAAUCCUGGUUUGUGUCUUCCUCCCCGGUGGCCUUAGGUGCAGCAGCUUGGCUGAGUGUCAGGGCCUUCAUUUGUAAAUGGAGAACGUCCUGCUGAGAACACGGGCCAAUGGUGAAGUAUUGCACAGAGAUUGCUGUUAUCACUGUGUCUGCCACCAAUUUUGGUAGUAAUUUGUCACCAGAGCAUCGUAUUCUCAGGUAUCUUCAUGGGUGCUAUGAAACUGCUGUAUUGUGAUGCCAAUCAUUCAUUUAUUCAUCUAACUAAUAUGUAUUGUGUGCUUGCUCUGCGACAGGCACUAUUCCAUGUGUUGGGAAUGCAAGAGUCAGCAGGGUAAGCCUCAGUCCAAUGGGUGUCACAUUCUGGUGAGAGGGACAGACAAGAAACCCAUAGGUCAUGGAAGUCUCUGUAGGUGUAACAGGGGCUCAGAGAUGAGUUCGUUGGAGAGACUCACAGUCUGGCUGGCAUACCCAGGCUGGCAGUGAGACAGCAGUUCCUGGUCUUCUCGACCAUUCAGCUUGUUCCUGGCGGGGUCUUUGUAGUGCCCAGCCUUGAGCAGCCUCCCUUUUUGACCCUAGGGCCUUCUUCUUCCCCUCCAGCCCUUUCCUGCACAGGCUCAGGGGCCUUCAUUGCACUUUGGCCCCUGACUCCCAAUCUACUCUCUUCCUGGAGAAGGAGGUUCCCGGAGCUUUGAGAGGAAUGUUUAGCUGCUCUCCAGAAGCAGCUCAGGAAGCUAGAUCAUGCUUCUGGCUGUUAAGAAGCACUUUCUAGAGGAUGGCCAUUCUCCACCCCCAGAUGGCUCCCUCACACCCCUGGCCAUGCUGACUCUCGAGGCCUUGUUCCACCGAGGUGUGGAGCUACCACCAUUGGGGCAGCCUGGUAUCUCCCCGCUUUUCUCCACCUACUAGAUUCUACCUACCUAUGACGUCCACCUCAGCAGUAGAGAACGUGAGCUGAUUCCCCAUAUCUCUGAUUCUGGUGGUCCAAAAGCCCUGAGGUUUUGUUGGACACACAGCUAAAAGUGAGGUCUUCUUCUCUGCCUGGUGGACCAUGUGACUGGGGACUCCUUCCUUCCUUCCUUCCUUCCUUCCUUCCUUCCUUCCUUCCUUCCUUCCUUCCUUCCUUCCUUCCUUCCUUCCCUCCUUCCUUUCUUUACCGGGGAUUGAAUUCAGGGGCACUCACCACUGAGCCACAUCUCCAGCCCUAUUUAGAGAAAGGAUCUCACUGAGUUGCUUAGCGCCUUGCUUCUGCUGAGGCUGGCUUUGAACUCACAAUCCUCCUGCCUCAGCCUCCUGAGCUUCUGGGAUUACAGGUGUGCACCACCACGCCCAGCCUCCCCCUGCCUUUCUGGCUGGUAUGGCUGUGCAGUUGGUGUCAGGACUUGGUUUCUUGGCAGAGUAACUAGUUGGAAGGUGCCUGGUCCUGGAGUUGGUGCAGCUUGCCCCACAGUCCUGGACCAUGGGUGCUUGUGUAAUCAUCUCAGAGAAGCUGUGGAUCUCCCUCUCAAAAGCCGCCGUUAUUUGGGUUAUAGGUCAGGUUAGAGACCCCAACUUGAGAUCCGGGACAUUCUUUCUGCUCUGUGAAGUCCUCCCAACCUGUCUCUCCAAAAUAUCUCCAAGGAAUGUGAUUCUGCCUCAGUGAAAGUGGUUCUGUGUCUCUGUAGGAGCAGACAAACCCUGGACAAGGCAAGCCCAGGAGCAGGAGCCUGUCUGCCCGAGAGCCAGCAAGGCCCCCUGACUUCAUCCUGGUGCUUUGUGAGUGUCUGCCGGCAAAUCCUGGGUGAUGGAGAGUGAUCCUGCUCCUUAUGGAGAGCAAAGACUCCAAAGCAGCACUGUCCAGGAGCAAGGUAAUGCAGAGCAUGUGUGUCAUUUCAAAUUCCCUACUAGCCACAUUAGGAAAAAAGAAGAAGAAGAAGAAGAAGAAGAAGAAGAAGAAGAAGAAGAAGAAGAAGAAGAAGAAGAAGCAGCAGCUAGUGAAAUUAAUUUUAGCCUUAGGUUUUAUUUAUAUCUACACAUCUGAAUAUUGCAAUUUUCCUUAGUAGUCAACAUAAAACUUAUAACUAAGAAUGUCUGACAUUCUUUCCCCCCGGCUGUCUUUGAAAUCUGGUAUUUUGCUCUUAGGGCACGUCUCAGUUUGAACCGUGUGCUUGCCGGUCACUGUGGUGAAUGGCUGCUGUCUUGGACAUGGCAUACACGGAGGGCCCAAGGCCCUGGAAGGGUGGGGAAGAUGAGGAUGGGCCUCAUGGGGGCUCAGCUGUGAGGCUGAGACAGGAAUCCUCCUUUGAAGCCAGGUUCACAGCACUCGCUGGGCACAGGGAUCUGUGAUUCGUGGGCUACGCUGUCUCUUGGUCACUGCUGAGCGACUUGGAUAUAGAAGGUGUGUUUGGGAAGAGCCGUGAAUAGAAACCAGGCUGUGGGUGCAUCUGUAGAGAUGCCCAAAGCCCACCCCCUGACCUGCCACCUCCACCUUAGUAUACAUAGGCUCCAUUUCUAAAGAGCAAGCCCCUCUCAACCUUUGCCCGGAGGUAUGGUGGCGUGGGGCGAAGAGGUAGGUCAGGAGCACCCAGGUCUGGCUUUUCACCUCUGCUGCCCGAGUGGCCCUGGCUAAGCCAUUUCAACUCUCUAUGCCUCAGUUUCCUCAGGAGGCCUCCAAGAGCAGCCUAGUGGGCACAGAACCAGCUCUUCAAAAGAGGCGAUUUGCAGCCUGGUGACGAUGAGGGGCUCAUGGACCAGCUCUGAUGACCUGGGUGCAGGGGGAAGGACACUGCAGGCUCCGUGGAGGCACCCAAGGGAGGACAUUAUUCCUGGACCAUUGCAGCAGCAGGGGUUUCCGUCCAAGGUACCUGGCCAGGAAAGGUUGGCCUUGGAGAAAGUGGCCUCAGAGCUUGAAGGAGGGAAGGGCGGCCACCACAGGGGCGGAGCAGAGGUGGUGUCAUCCAGAAGACAGCCGAGGAGGGGACCUUGCCUUUCCUCCUCUCAGGGAAGCCCCUGUGGUGCUCUGGAGUCUGCAGGGGGUUCUGAGUAAAUGGGGCACAAAACACUGCAGCAGCCCCCUCCCCCUCGCCCCCCAGGAGGGGGAAAGUCUCAGCCGUUACAUGGAUCCCUUGAGGGGAAGGGAAGCAAAGAAGGCCUGAAACCCCCUUCAGGCCUCAACUUUUUAUCUCAGGCUGAACUCUUCUUGGCCGUCGCUCGCCCAGGCAGCAGCUGUGGUCUCUACGUGACUGCAUGCAGUGAUCCAGCCAUGAGGCACUGGGGCUGCUCCUGCUGGGGCCCCUGUGGAGGAGGCUUGCUGGAGGCCAGCUGGGAGGGGAGUUUAGGAAGGAAACGGGUCUGAGUUCCAAAGCUUGAGGUUCCAGUCUCCAGAAUAUGAGAGCAUCCCUGGAGUAGCAGAAGCCCAGCUCGCUGUGUCGGUCCUGAAAAGUUGAGUGCUGGAACUGCCAGAUGGCUUCAGAAACUUGGGAUUCUGUACUUGGGAAGUGCCAACCUUUCUGGAGGUGGCUGUGCUUUGGGGUGAGCAGUUGAGGAAAUAAAAGAGGCCAGGGCCAACACCCUGCAGAAAACUGCUAGGCCAGCACUGCAAGAGGCUAGACAACCCCCAGGCCAAGUGCAUCCUUGCUGGGGAGAGAAUUUGCAGGGAGGAAGCGUGUCAUUAAUUGGACGGGGCUCCUUCUGUCUCCUACUUGUGGGGACAGCCAGAUGUUUUUCCACAUUGAAGGCUCGUCCACUAAAGACCCAGGCGAGCCUGCGUGUGUCCUGCUGUCUCUUAGUGGGGUAGUUUUCUUGGUGGCUCUGUGUAGAAUGGAAGUGGGGAGUUUCCUGGGGGUGGGCAUAUGGUGUACACACGUGCUCAGCAGUGUUUGUGGGAAGGGUGCACGGGGGAUGUCACGCCUGGCGAGGAGGAAGAGCCACUGGGUCACUCCUGUGUCCCUCUCUGACGCAUUCUUAGGUAGUCUCAUGAAGAGAACCGAAAGUCCAUCUUUCUUGCCAGAGUCUUGCUGCUCAAAUCCCUCAACUAAGGGAGAAAAAUCCAAUAAACUUGAAAAGCCUCCCCAUCCUGGAGUGUCGGGGAUUAGUGGUCAUGCUCGACUUCGAAUUAUCCAAGGUGCAGAUCCAGAGCUGAGCUGGCUGGGUGCAAGCAGGGUCCUUCUGCUUACUAGCUGUGAGGCCCCCAGCACUUCACCCCCUCCCCUUGCUGGACCUUAGUUUUCCUAUUUGGAAAAGGAGGUGCCGACACCCUGAACCUGCAGCUCCCUGGAUCAGGUGGAGCUUUGGACGUUGGUGGGUGUGUGGCCAGCGCUCCUCUGUGGGACCUGGGCUGAGGCUGUCCACACGAUGUUCUUUUUGUCUUCCAGGGGAGCUGGUACUGGACUGGCAUUCGAGGGCAGGAAUCCCCGGGGAGACUUGGAUUUGUUAUAGAAACCCACCCUUCAACUUGGCCAGCCCGUUUCAAAAUAGGGAGUUGACCCAAUAGCUUUGGUGAAUGCUCGUAGUUUAGACAGUGGGAGAGGCAGGAGAAGGCACUCCAGAGACAGCCUCCACAGAGGCUUCCGGGGCAGAGUCGGGGCAGAGUGGGGACAGGCGCCUUCCCUGGGGCCAGUGAUGACACAGUUAGAGAAUUUAAAGAUGAGAAAAACCAACCAGCCUCGGAGACUACUGUUUAUCAUCGCCAUGCAACAAGGGGUUAGUAUCUGUGAGAGGAUUUCCCUCUCCAUGAAAAAGAAUUUGUUCUAAGUUCUAAACAAUUGAUACAGUUACUGUUGAGCUGCUGAGUUUUAAGAAAAUAAAUGAGCUCUGUGGUGCCUUUUGAUUACUUACUUAUCCUUCAGGAGAAGUUGCAUUCUCUGUGGAAAACAGCUGGCCCCCAGUCCGUGCUUGCUCAGUGACAUGGCUCAUUUUGAGAGUAAAUUCAUAAUAGACUGGAACUUUCUCUCCUCACUUUAUAGAUAGUUCAUCUGUCCACCUUCUCAAUACAACAUAUUCUUUUUUUUUAAAGUGGGUGUAUCAAAAUUGAACGGAAUAUUAUGCAGUUAUCAACAAUAAGAAGUUGGAUCAGUGUAUGAUCUAAUAGAGGACAUAUCAUACAAUGUCCAACAUGCAGUGUUCAAGUAAGUAAGCAAGUUGCAGAACACUUAAAAUAUUUUAAAAGGUAGCAUUUACAUGUACUUACAUGUGUGUACACACAUGAAAUUUGUACAUGAGAAGAAUCUCUCAAAGGACAGAUAAACAAUUUUGCAGACUUAAAAGGAGAAUGAUAGCACAGAAAUGCAAAGACAAAGACCCAAACCACUUCAAUUCUCUCAUUCUGUCACUGCUUGGGGAUUUUGUUUAUGUUAAAAAUUUAACACAGUGAAACAGAGUAUGAAUCAGGAGUGCAGCAUUUUCGUCUGGUAAAUGCAAAUUUUGGUUCAUAUAUUAUUUUAUUGAUAUUUUUAAACACUGGCAUCUUUCUUUCUAAAUUGUUUAUUUGAAAGAUAAAGAACGUAUGUAGGGGGUGAUGACUAUUUCUGGUUAUCGAGUGGCUCCUAGGUGAGUCAUUUCUGCACAGGGGUGCGUGCCAUGGUCUGCUCCGGUGUCCAUACACUGCGCCGCUCACCUCUAAUCAAAAUUUGAAAAUGCUCUGGGGCAUUAUUAUCCCCACAAGAUUUGCCUGGAGGAAUGAUAUGACCAACACUGGCAAAUCCAUGGCAAAUCCAUUCUAGAAGGUUUUGAGUGAUUUCAGGAGCAUCCACUUUAUUCCUUCCACCAGGGACAUAUUGUUCUUUUUUCUCACCAUAGGAAACUCCCUAUUUCCUGACCCUGAAAUUCCUGGAAAAAACCUCUCUUAUUCUAGAGUUGAGAGACUGAAUAUGCCGAUGUGGUAGUGGCAGUUUCUUGGGAUGCAGGGGUCUCAGCUAAAGGAGCAAGGCACCCGCUGGGGAAAGUGUGGAGAGGGAGGACAGCGGCUCGCCCCCUCCUCCUAAGGACCCGUGCCCCUUGGGUCCUGGGGGCUGCUCCCACGCAGGCCUGCCUCCCUUUCCUGGUGAGUCUUGCGCCCUAAUCUACCAGGACGGCCUCUCCCCAAUGCUUCCUGGGGCUCUGUUAUUGGAGGGGUCUUCUGGCAGCAGAGCUCCCCCGCACAGCCUGGUGCAGGCACUUAGUGUGCUGAGUAGUCAGUGCACUGUGGCCCUGGCUGGGCAGGAGCCUGCGGCAGUCUGGGUCCAGAAUUGGCUCCUAGGGACAAAGACAAGACUGUAUCUGGCCAUUUGGGAGGAAUGGAUGUUUUAUAUGCGGACAAGAAGGUGGUUGGAACUCUCUCCUUUCCUGGUGACGAAGCUGUGUCGCCUCUUGGCUUUCUUGCUACAAAGGACUCGCAGCUGUUGUGGCGCUGUCCACGGGCCUUCUCUUGCACGGCAAGGCUCAGUGGCCUCAGCGUGUCUAGGAGGCCUAGGAAGACUGGCCUGUUUCCAGAGACACAUGCUUUUGCUGGGGGUGGGGGUGGCAGUUUGCAGCAGUUGGCAGAUGUGACCCUGGUGACAUCCAAGCUAGUAAGGUCUGCUGGGGGUCAUGGCUGUUGGUGAAACUGUCCAGGCCUCUUCUGCUGGGGCUUUGCGUCCUCUUCCCAAGUGUGAGAAGGCAGUCCCAGCAGGAAGUGUGGGGUUGACCAGGGACUUUAACAAAUGUUGACGGAUGGCUUUUGUGUCAUUGCAUGGGGCAUGCAGGCCAGUGAGGAAAGUCCCUGCCAGGCCCCAAGACCCUGUGAAUAAAAGCUGAAGGUGCUUCGAAGUUUCUAAAGUUGGUUAUUUGAAGAAAAAUGUGCAGCAGGGUCUUCUGUGUUUGUAGGGUGAGAGGAUCGAUUCUUUCUACACCACAGAGCCUGCCUGUAGCACCUGCCUCUAAAGUUUGCACACGGGAACAUGAAUCAAGCCUACAAGCAGUUAAAUAAAAUAUGCUCUGUUCUCAUAUUUUACAAAUCUAGGGGUUGGGGCUGGGGUUCAGUGACAGAGAACUUGCCUAGGAUGUGUGAGGUGCUGGGUUUGAUCCUCAGCACCACAUAAAAAUAAACAAACAAAAUAAAGCUAAAAAAAUAUCUAUAGUCACAUAUUUUUUUCAUAUAUUUCAAGACAAAACUGAAAAAUGUGUAAAGCUGUAGUUUUUUACAUGACCCAAAGCGGGCAGAUAUCAAAGAUGACUGAAUUAAUUAUUAAAUGUCCUUUUGUUCUAUUUGAAUGAUGAACAAGAUAAAGAUACACAUAAUUUAUAAUUACUCUAUAGUUCUCUAAAUUAAUUUUUUGCCUUCAUUUCAUCACAACCACAAAUCCUGUCAUUAAAAAUGAACAUUUUCACAUAAUUUUGUUCUAUUUAUAACAAUGAGCUAAGGGAUUUUUUUAAAAAAAUGUUAAUGUAUUUGAAAUAUGCACAAUUUAAAUAUAUUUUUAUCACAAAUGUGAAAGUAUAUGUAAAAACAUAAAAAAUGUAUUUUCUCAUAUAUAUUUUCAAAGAGAGUUAUUUUUUUCUUAUAAAACAUUAAAACUGGAAAGGCAAAAGUACAAAUUAGCAUUAAUAAAUGUCAAAAAGGUAGAUGAAAAUUAUUUAAAUAAAACUGGAUUUUAAAUGUUAAUUUAUGAAAAGUAAAUGAGAUCUUAUUAAAUAUCCUUGUAAAUAAUACCUCCCAAUUCUAGCAUUCGGUUCCCACCCAGCCACUGACAUAAAUUGGCAUCGCCCAAUGUCUUGCCCUUGGACCUACAUGGCUACCAGUUCAGAAAUCAUGGGAACCGUGGAAGUCUGCUCCACACUCCUCAUGGCCACGCCACCUGUGAUUGUCACGACGCCGUGUGACUUCCCGCAUCUCCAGGAGCAGUUAGAGCAGCAGCUCUCCUGGAUGGUUGAGUUAUGCAAGUGUCACUUGCUCCUCCUUCCUGCCACCCAGUGAGAAGGCCAAGGGCUCCUGUCUUUCCUCCUCCCUGUGUUGGGUUAGCUGCUCAAGUCCCCUCCCCUCCUGGGCCACCGUCCCGGGGGACAUCAACAGUCCUAGUAUGACCUGCAGAACUCUGGGGCACUUGGAGGCAGUGAGGCUUUCUUUUUCAUUCCAAGACCAGGCACAAAAUGUGGAGAUGGAUGGGAGACGCGUUUCCUGGGGCCUGAGUGGCCAUGGUUAUGGGGGUGGAUGUUUAGGGUUAAGAAUGCCCAGAGCCCUGGACCCCAGGCGACAGAGGGGCCGUGUGAAGUGGUCUGAACCUCGGGACUCAGGUCAGGUGUCCCUUGGCAGAGUCUUCUGGGCGUACUGACCACUCAUCCCGGGUACUGGGGUGACUCUUCUUGCCUUCUGGUGUGACUUACCUGGCUCUGCAGGGCUCGGUUUCUGGAUCAGCCAUCCUCUAUGGAAGAAGGAAAUUUCUGAGAGUCCCAGCUGCCCGGGGGCUCGUUCCAGCCCUGGCCAGUCUUGGGGUGGUGCAGCAUUGGAGCUGAAGCAAAGGUUGUGUGGACCUUGCUCUUCUAGUAGGGUCCUUCUCCUGAAGAUGUGGGAAGUCACAUGGCGUCGCAGCAAUCACAGGUGGCCGUGAGGAGUGUGGAGUGGCUUCCCAUGGUUUCUAUGAUUUCUGAACUGGUAGCCGAGUAGGUCCAAGGGCAAGACGUUGGGCGAUGCCAAUUUAUUCUAAUGCUAGAAUCGGGAGGUAUUGUUUACAAGGAUAUUUAUUAAAAUCUCAUUUACUUUUCAUAAAUUUAUAUUUAAAAUCCAGUUUUAUUUAAAUAAUUUUCAUUUACACUUUUGACAUUUAUUAAUUUCAAUCAAUGGCCAGUCUCGGAGUGGUUGCAGCACUGGACCUGAACAAAGGUUGUGUGGUCACCUGGGAGAAGUGGGUGCUCUGUGGUGGCAGGAGCUAUGGGGUGGGCCUUAUGUGUCUGUGCACUCCUCUCAGAGGCUGCUGCCCAGGUACUGUCUCAAAGCUGGACUUGAUCCUUGGUGGGUCUGAGCCUCAUCUGGCCCUCACUCCUGUGUCCCUGACUUCUCUUCCUAUUUCUGUGUCUUUCCCUCAGAUCCUGAGCUCCAUCAUGGUCUACUGCCUGGCAACUUCAACCGUAUCCCUGAUUCUCUCCUUGCUGGCCAGCUUUGCCCCAGUGGCUCCCCUCCUGCAAAUAGGGCAAAAGGCAUGGAGAUGAGACCAGAGUGUCCGGCUCUGGGGGUUUGAUGGACCGAGACAGACAAGUGAGCGUACAAGCAAACAUUUUGAAAACGAGCGCAUGAGUCAAUGGUCAGGACUGGUGCACGUUGAUUGGGGUGGAUGUAACUGAAGGGUCACUAGUAGGAUUUCCACAGCCAGCUGGCUCAGGGCCUCUCUGGUCACCCUGGGAAAGCCUUACUUUUUGAAAGGUUCCAGUCCUCUCUCAGUGAAAACACACGGGUGUGACAACACCCAUGGUUCCCUGACCUCCACAGACUGAGGUCUGAGCCCAUUGAAAUCAGGUGUCUGAAGUCACGCAGAAUGGCUUUCAGUGGUGCUGUGAGCCGACCGUUUCAGGGUACUCCUUCCUCCGAUUUCACAGAUGUGUCGGUUGGAUUUUAUUCUUAAGUGGCCUAAGCCAAAAGCAUCUUCUCCCAGAAACAGCAGGUUCAUUUCAAUUCAAUAUUUCACUUUGGACAACUGCUUGCCUUCAUUUAGCGCCGCAUGCUGGGACUUGGUCUCCCCGGGCGUUCUGGCUUCCCUCCCGUUAGCGACGGUGGCAGCAGUGCAGACAGAUUGAGGCCCCAGGAAGGCGGACCCCCCAACUGCGCGGCAGCAGUGAGCUGGGAGCAGAGGCUGUGCACGCUAAUGGUUGUGAGUGCUGCUUUUCCAGCCAUGAGCUGUCUAUAUCGCAUUUGCGUGGAGACACAAAACAUCUAACUAUCAGACGAAGCCAGACGCAACACCCAGCACAGAGAGGACAGCGUCUUCUCCAGCUGUGUCUGGUGCCCGGGGUCACCGAGGGGAAAAAUGACAAUGCCUUGUGUGCUGGGUGGUGGGUGGCUACAGGAUUUAGAGAAGUCUCUCUCACUACCCCAGGCAAAAAACCUUCGUUGUCCUCUGCCUGGGUAGAUUACUCCUGCAGACACUGGUCUGAGUCUAGGCUGAGCCCAGUCUGCCCUGCAGGGCUUCUCUGGUACUGGGGGUUGCAAAUGUGGAAUUCUGGGGGCAGCUCUCCAGGCCCAUGUGGAAAGAAGUGCUGAGACAGAACACAGAGGGCCCUGGAGGCCCGGGGCUGCAGCGCAGGGCUGGCCUCCGGCUUUUGUAGGUGAGGAGGGCCAUCCUCCUGCAGCACAGGUGUGCAGUGGUCUUGGGGCCGGGCAGGUGGGCUUGUUUGCUCUGCUGCUUCCUGUGGACAGUGUCCAUGGCUCUGGGAGGCUCUCUGCCAUCACAGGUCAGGUUGAGCGGCUUCCAGCUCAGGGUAUCUGGGUGUACGUGCCUCCUGAAAAGCCUUCUCUCCCUGGACUGGGAGCAGCUUCUUCUGCCCAGCAAAGGAAGUAGGUGAGAGGGAGGAAGACCCCUAUGUGUGGCUGGUGGCAGUGGCUCAGAGCCACAUGGGGCAGGGGAGACCCUGCUCUUACUGAUCUCCUCCUUGGAGGGAAGGUAUUAGGGCAUCAAGAACAUUCUUGCUGCUCAGACAGAGUCCUCUGGAGAAGGCGGCCCAGGUGGGUUAGGGUUAGGCACUUCUGUACUCUGGAGAUGGGAGCCUCGUCUGUGAUAGUUCUGACUAGGCUGCCUGUCACAUCUGCACAAUGGGAAGCUGGGCCAGAGGGUUUUACGGUCCACACUGAACUUGAGGUUCUGGGAGGGCAGUCAGAGUUUAGUUACAAUCUUUGUUUUCCAGGAGACCCAAGUUCAAGUCCCAUUCCCCAGUUUCUUGUUGCUGUGCAGCCUAGGACAAGCCACUCCCCUCUCUGUACUGUCCUCCCAGCACAGGUGGUUGGUAUGAGGAGCAGUCUGGCUCACAGGGCUUGUCCUGGACAGUGGUUUCUUUCCCUACAUCUCCUUUGAGUUGGCAGAGGCCCACAGACAACCAACCCCAUCUCCGGAGCAUAGACCUUGUCUACCGCAUAGCCAAGUUUCCCAUGCACUCCAGAUUUGAGGACGGCCAGCUGCCGUGUAAUUCAAAUGAGAGCCCUGUUGCCCUUUGAGGACAAGCCUCAUGUAAGGUCCACCUGUCACCUGAGUCUCUGUGGCCCAGCUCAGUGCAUGGCCUCUGCUAGUGCUGAGACACCAGAUGCCUAUAGCCUCAUGUCUGCCCUGCAAGGGGUGCUAGCCUAUCCAGGGGCCACGGGGCUGGGUUUUCGACCAGCUCAUGUGGUGCUGGCUUGUCUGCAUGUGUCAGUGCUGAAGCCCUGUGAAGAACCCUCUCCUGCCCCUUCGAUGCCUGCCCCAGUCUCCAGAUAAGAUGGGAAGGGAAGUGGAUGAGGGACUCCAUUCAGCCUGACCUCAGUUAACAUUUCAGCUCUGCCAGGCAUCAGCUGUGCAUCACAAGAGAGGUCACUGAGCUCCUGAGUCCCAGCUUCUGGUCUGUAAAAGCGGGUGCUGAUUCCCUUGGCAGGAGGGGUGUGAACAGCAAAGGCUGCCAAGUCUCUGCACAUGGGAGGCAUCGGCAGAAACAUUUCUGUUGUUCAGAGCAAGGUACUUGUGCCCUGGACCAGCGUCAUCAGCAUCACCUGGGAACUUGUGAGCAAGGGAAUUGUCAGACCCUCUCCCCAUGUGCUGAGUUGGAACCAAAGAGAUGGGGUGACGCCAUGGAUCUGACUGUUCACAGCCCUGCAAGUUCUACAGCAUGGUAAGGCCAGAGACCUCGGACUUGGAGAUAUGUUGCAAACUUCUUCUUCCAUGGUAUUUCCUUGCCUGGUUCUGCUUCCUUCCUCCGAAUGGGACUUGGGAGAGUCUCCGAACUUGGGAGGGCAGUGAGUCUGGGCUGGAUCUGUCAGCUGGGCUUGGAUAAUGUUUGCUGGAUUGGAGGCAAGAGAAAGGGCAGUAGGACCCUUGGGUCCUGUCCUCCUCUGGGUGCAGACAAGGGCCUCUUAUCUGUGCCUGUCUGGGAGGGCUGCCCCUCCUCAUUCCCUGGACAGGAGUGUGCGGCUCCUGUGCAGUCUGUCUCCCCCUGCUGCCUGUCACCUGGGCACACUAAGGAGACACGAUUGUGGAGGCAUGCAGUGGGUGCUUGAACCCUUUGUGGGACAUGAGAGGAUGGGCACUCUGUAGAGUACUACAGAGCACUUCUGGGAGAAGCACAAGGGGACAGAGAGUGGUGAUUCAGAUGCAGGCCCAGCCUGGGGGCACUUGAGCUGUAGCCAUCCCAGGUGUCCAUCAAUUCCACAUGUGGGCAGCAAGCCAGGUGCUUUGAAUGCAGAGUUAAUAAUUAGGUAAAAUCAAACGGUCUAUUCUUGAAUACGAAACAGAGCAGCAUAAUGAACUUGUAAAACCUUUUAGAUUCUUUUCAGCAUGGUGACAAGUUUUUUUAAGUUGUUUUGAAGCUUCUUUUCUCGUGUGGUUUUUAUUAUGGUAAAAUAUACAUAACAUAAAAUUUACCCUUUUAACUAUUUUUACGUACAUAGGUCUGGGACAUUAAGCACACUCAUGUAGUUCUGCAAACGUCACCACCAUCCGUCUCCGGAACUUUUCCAUCUUCCCAAAAUGAAAUUCGGUCCCCAUUAAACACUAGCUCCUGUCCUUCCCUCUCCUUGGCCCCUGACGGCCACUUAUUCCAUUAAAGCCCUGACUGAGAUAAAAGGAGGUGGUGGGAGGUUCUAAGAAACCCCUCCUUCAAGAGUAUACUUAAGAACCCAGUUUUCUUGAGGCAGGACCUCUGCUUGACCUCCAGACGUGAGCACAGCACAGAGGUAUAGACGUAGGCGGGAACGUUGGGCCCCUUUGGAAUAGUUGCACAUGCUUUAUUUUGCCCUUGAUGAAAAGAGCCGUGUUAAGUUUAUAAAAGAGCACUUGCAGAAGAAGAAAGCCUUGGACCCAGCCAUGGCCUUCCUGAGUUGUUGACAGCUGUUAUUCACUGAAAACCUCCCUGGAAACAAAGAGAUAUUGCAGCAUUGUUCAGCGUGGGUGUUUGAAGUGGCCUCCUUCCAGAGCUCUGCUGAUGGAGGGGCCGGGUCUGGGCCAGGGCCUCGUGCCUCCUGCUUUCUUCCUAUAGCUGCUGCAGCUUCGAAGGAGCCUGGGAGUGUCCUGAAGCAGUCCAACUUGCAGGCAGUCCUUUCUUCCACGUGCCUGUGACUUCCUGAUGCUCUACUACUCCCUUCACAGGGCUGUGCUGCUUUGGCAGAGAAGCAAAGAUGACAGGCACCUUCAGGACCCCUGCUUGUCGAUGUCCCUGGGAUAUCACCUGAGUGCUAGGGUAGGAAGAAUCUGGGGCACUUAAGAAAAACUGAAAGUGGCCAUUUUUUUCCCCAGGAAGGGAGGUACCCACGUCCACAUCCUGCAUCUUCCUCUUUGUGAAAUCCAUGCUGCGGGCCGGCCCUGGAUGCUGUCUGCAGGCCUGUCCCCGCUGGGUGCUGACAGCGUGGGCCCCUGUGCCUUGCUGAGUCAUCUCGGGCUCACUUUUCCCACCAGUGCAACGGGGUUAAUGACGCCUGCCCCGGCUGGGGACUCAAACGAGAAAACCUAGGUGAAAGUGACUUGAAACUCAGAAAGUGCCUUCCACGUGGCCUGUGGUGGCCUUGUGGCGGGCAUCCCUCUGGGGGAGACCUGCGGAGCGGGUUUGGCAGGGCCUCCGGAUGGGGUCUCUGGGGGGGGGAGCCCCUCCAUCCCCCGGCUCACUCACCUCCAUCCCCCCCCACUCACCUCCCACGGGUAUGAUCAUUUCCUACGUGGGCCCUGACAAUGGAGGGGAAGCCCUUUGGAGAGGUCCGUCCGGGUAAGAGCAGGUGAGGCAGGUCCUGGACAGGGCUCCCAACUCACCCUGUGCUGUCACUGGCUUGGUGACACUUCCUCUGGGAGUUCUCCCAGGGGCAGACCACCUGUGCUGGGAGUGCUGGUUGAGCUGUCUCCCUGUAGACAUCUACCUUUAGCCCAGGUCCUGGAACAUGGGAGGUCUUCAACUAGCAGUGAGCACCCUAACAAAUAUCAUCAUGGAACAUCAGUCAUCGUACCUAUUUAUAAUUAUUUACUUCUUUAAGAUUAGUUGAAGAAUAAGUUUUGGGGAGGAAAAAAAAACAUGCCGCAAAAGUAGCAUCAUCAACAGUCUGGUUUCUCAACGUGCCACUGGUAGCUGGGUGGGCCCAGAGCCUGGUAGAAACACUGGUUCAGACCUGAUCCAGACUGGCUGAGUCAGCAUUUACUUUUCGGGUGUCUUCAGGGCCCUUGCAGAUGAGGGAGAGAAGCUCGUGCAGGAUCACCUUCCCAGACCUGGGAGCAGCGGAGCUUGUGGAUUCUCACCUCUGGGGAGACUCCCAGCCACAAAGCCAGGGAUUUCCCAGCUCUGGUGGGGGGGUGCUGCCAAAAGGGGACACACAUGCUCACGGCUCUGGGGGUGGCUAGGGACCCCUCCUUCACUCCUGCAGCGUGUAGGCCAGUGGCCUAGGAGGAGUGAGAACAACCCGCUGCCUUGGCUUUCUCUGGCCCCCUUGUCCUCGAGGGACCCUGGCUGACUAACACCUUUGCCCUGCCCAGGCGGAGAUUUUGGUGCCCCAUACAGGGAGAUGUGCUAAGAGGUGACUUUGGCCUCAAUUAGUCCCAGGCUCCAGAUAAGAGGAUUCCAGAUCCUUACCCAUGCAGGCGACUGCAGCCCUCCUAGUCUCCCUUAGACGUACCUGCCUUCUCUCCUGCUCCUGGGAACAGCCCUUGCACUCCAGUCUUGGGUGGAUUGUGAUUCUGCACUAUUAUUUUACCAUGAGCUGAGGUCGGGAGAAGACUACUAUUCCAAGUCUGGGCCCAGCUAGCCAUUUAUUCCAUCAGUCCUUUUUGAGCACCUACUGUGUGCCAGGUGCUCAGCUGGGCACUGAAGACACAGCAGUCACCACCCUGGCCCUCAUUCUCCAGGAAGACACUGGCAAAUGAUGGUUAAGAAGCCAAAAUCAGCAUUUUGCUCAUCAGCUGCGUGACCUCUGGAACCUCUCAGGGUCUCGAUUUCUUCAGAUUUAAAAUGGCAAUGGACAGGUGGUUUCCCUGAGAGGGUUUCUGUGAGGAGGAAGUGCGUUAAUGCACAGUGCCUGGCGAUACUUAUGCAGACAGGAAGGGGGCUGCUCAGGGACCAAGUGCUAAGUGUGAGCAACCCUCUGGGUCUCCUGCUAUAUUCUAAAACCCAUUUGAAUGCUGGCAGACUGUCCUUCAGCUGUCCUUUGGCACUCAGGGCCUGAGACCCCAGCUUCCCAUCUGCUCAGAGGGGAAUUUAGUCUCCUCCUCAGGUGGGAGUGAAGACUGACCGAGCCAUGUAGACAGGUGUGUGGUGGUGCUCAGAUCAGGGGUCCUGUCCUCCUCAGCUCUUGGGGAGGAUCUCCAUGUCUGAACUGGUUUCUCUAAUCCUUGAUUUAUUGCCGUGACGGUGUUUGUUCUUUGUGAGUCCUUCUGCUUCAGCUUUGUGAUGAAUAAAUCCUUGAUCACAGUCAAUUC
Molecule: long non-coding RNA, 32316 nt
Filed under: Marmota monax (woodchuck)
Lineage: Eukaryota; Metazoa; Chordata; Mammalia; Rodentia; Sciuridae
Source: RNAcentral